This 2474-nucleotide long non-coding RNA is filed under the name Glycine max (soybean). RNAcentral describes it as "ADP-ribosylation factor GTPase-activating protein AGD1-like (LOC112997675)". Lineage: Eukaryota; Viridiplantae; Streptophyta; Magnoliopsida; Fabales; Fabaceae. The record is from RNAcentral.
GAGGGUCAUGUGUUUUUAUAUAUUUGGUUGGUUUGGUGGUGUGCUUAACACGAAUUGGUUGCUUAAUUGUGAAUCAUGAAUGGUUGUGGAUGCAGCUCCAGUGCAUGGAAGAGAGUUCAGAAUCGUUACGCUCGAGAUGUUUCAAGUUUUACAAAGGAUGUUGAAAAUACACGGAAGGGCUUGGAGAGGCAUAUGAUGGAGACAUUUCAAUUGCAAGUGCCCUUGAAAAUUUUGGAGGAGGGCAUAAUGAUCCUCUAUUUGUAACUUUGGGAGGACCUGUCGUGACCAAAUUUUCUAUUGCUUUGAGAGAAAUCAGUACAUACAAGGAACUUCUUCGGUCCCAGGCAGAGCACAUGCUGAAUGACCGGUUACUAAACAUGCUAAAUGUCGAUAUCCUAGAUGUCAAGGAAGCUAGAAGGCGUUUUGAGAAAGCUUCCCUUGUACAUGAUCAGGGACGUGAGAAGUUUAUGUCAUUGAGAAAAAGCACUAGGAUGGAUAUUGCCACUGUCGUAGAAGAGGAUUUGCACAAUGCAAGAACCUCAUUGGAGGAAGCUCGUUUCAAUCUGGUUAGUGCUCUCCAUAAUGUUGAGGCCAAGAAGAGAUUUGAGUUUUUGGAGGCUGUCACUGGAGUUAUGGAUGCUCAUCUUCGGUAUUAUCGACAGGGAUAUCAGCUAUUACAUGAGAUGGAGCCUUUCAUUAUCGAGGUUUUGGCUUAUACACAAAAGGCAAGAGAAAGUUACAAUGAGAAGCAAAUUAGUCUUUGUGAAAGAAUGUUGGAGUACAAAAAACAUGUUAAUCAUGAAAGUAUGUUGUCCUUGAAUGGUCCUUAUGACUCUCCCUGUAGAGAUGGUCAAGUGCAGCCUUUUUCUAGGAUAUCAAAUAAAGUGGCAGAUGCUAUAACAGAAUCUGCUGAAAAUGGAAAGGUUCAAAUCAUUCGACAAGGAUUUCUUUCAAAACGGUCCACAAAUCUGAGGGGUGACUGGAAGAGAAGGUAUUUUGUUCUUGAUAGUCGCGGAAUGCUUUACUACUUUCGUAAACCAUGGAGUGGAUUACAUAGUGGCAAUCAAUCAUCUUUACACAGAAAUUGUGCCACUGACAAUAGUGCUGGAAUUUUCAGUCGCCUGCUUUCUUCACAUUACCAUGGAUUUAUCCCUGAUGAAAAAUUUGUAGCACGUCAUACAGUGAACCUGCUAACAUCAACAAUCAAGAUUGAUGCUGAACAGUAAGAUUUAAGGUUCUGCUUCAGGAUUAUUUCACCAUCAAAGAGUUAUACAUUGCAGGCAGAAAAUGCCCUGGAUCAGAUGGAUUGGAUGGAAAAGAUAACUGGUGUAAUUGCCUCCUUAUUGAGUGCACAAACACUGUCAGAUGACUCUGAAAGCAGUGACUGUUACUCUGCCAACAAGAUGUAUUUGUUAAAAGGUUCUCCUGAUGAUGAUCCUGCAGUGAGUGGGGAUUCUAUAAAAAAUGAAAAGCCAAUUGAAGUUCUUAGAAAGGUUGGCGGGAAUGAAAAAUGUGCUGAUUGUGGUAAACCUGAUCCAGAUUGGGCAUCCUUAAACCUUGGCAUCCUUAUUUGCAUUGAAUGUUCCGGUGUUCACCGUAAUCUUGGUGUGCAUAUAUCAAAAGUAAGAUAACUGACCCUUGAUGUAAAAGUAUGGGAUUCUGCAGUGUUAACCAUGUUUCAGUCACUGGGGAAUCUUUUUGCAAACUCAGUUUGGAAGGAACUGUUGCAUUCAACAAGUACUUCGCAAACUGAUGACACUCCCGAUGGUUCAUUCAAGACACACAAAAAGUUAUUUCAUGCAAGAAAACCAGCACAUGAUGAUCCUCUUUCACUAAAGGAGAGGUUCAUUCAUGCAAAGUAUGCUGUGAAAGUCUUUGCUCGCCGGGACAACGAAUGACAACCGUCUCCUUUCAACGGCACAAGAAGUGGCAGAAAGCACCACUGCACCAGUGCCAAUGACAAGAAAGCAGUGUACAGACACGUUGUGAAGUCAGAUGUGGAUGUCAUUGCUAUUAGUGGGGAAGCAGGUUUUUCUUCCAACAUGCCUUCUUCAAGUAAUCCAAACACAUCAUGUAAAACUAAGACUCGACAAGAGGAGGAUAUACAAGAUGGCUCUAGUGUGCUUCACCUGGUAUGCUUAACUAGUGAUUCUGCAAUGGUAGAGCUGCUCCUACAGUAUGGUGCAGACGUAAAUGCUAUUGAUUCUAGAGGGAGGACACCUCUACAUUACAGCACUAUGAGAGGGGAGAGUGCAAUUACAAAAGUGCUUUAUUACAAGGGGGGCCAAUCCACUUGCCGGAGACAAAGAAGGCAACACUCCUUUUAAGCUUGCACCGGAACCUGACACUGUUGUCAAAGAUACUCUUGCUCUAAACCAGCAAACGACAUGCCCUCAAAACUUAUUAGAAAAAUGAUUCAUGAACACCUUGUGUUGGAGAUAAAAAUAUAGAAGACAAAGAUAGAUGAUAUGAUG